GCCACGGAGCCUGCAGCACAGCCAGACACGAAGGAGUGUGCGAACGAGGCCUUCCCCGAGAGCUCGUCGACUCCGAGGUUGUUGAGGCCACUCAACUCUCCAGCAGCCCCCAGGGAGGAUGACCUCCAAACUGCCCAGCCCAGCGGCACGCACGGUGUGGGGGUUACGGUAAAACUGCAAGGAGAGGAGCUACUUGUUCAGAACAUUACAGUGCCCUCCCAGUAAGGGCGUGUUUGGGGACGCUCAUCUUUAAGAAGCCCCUUCGGAUAUGUUCAAAUGUCAAAACGUAAAGGUGACUUAGGGUUUUGGGACACAUCCCCAGUAGUGUCAGCUUCUGUUCUUCCCUAAAUCUCACCCCGAUCUUUCUCCUGGUUGUUUUAUGAAGAAGCUCCUGGUCUGGGAUAAUCUUUGUGUAAGAUGUUACCUACAAGGGUUAACAAGUAAAUGUCAAAAGAUAA
This is a long non-coding RNA of Chinchilla lanigera (long-tailed chinchilla), 458 nucleotides long. RefSeq lists it as uncharacterized. Lineage: Eukaryota; Metazoa; Chordata; Mammalia; Rodentia; Chinchillidae. The transcript is spliced from 2 exons. The record is from RefSeq and is a predicted model, not a curated record.